ACGAACGCUGGCGGCGUGCUUAACACAUGCAAGUCGAACGGAGUGUUUCAAAAGCUUGCUUUUUGCAACACUCAGUGGCGCACGGGUGAGUAACACGUGGGCAACCUGCCCGGAAGACUGGGAUAACACCUCGAAAGGGGUGCUAAUACCGGAUACCUUCACGGAGUCGCAUGACUUUGUGCAGAAAGAAUUCGCUUCCGGAUGGGCCCGCGUCCCAUUAGCUAGUUGGCGAGGUAACGGCUCACCAAGGCGACGAUGGGUAGCUG
Molecule: ribosomal RNA, 266 nt
Filed under: uncultured bacterium
Lineage: Bacteria
Description: partial 16S ribosomal RNA
Rfam family: Bacterial small subunit ribosomal RNA
Source: RNAcentral